GCCGCCCAAGAGAACGGCAGGCUUGUAAAAACUUUGCAGUGUGUCCUCAUCCACUUUGGUCCCUGGAUCUGGCACCAUGUGAUUUCUGGCUCCUUCUUGAAAUCAAAAUGACCGUGACAGGCUCCCGGAGAGGCCUGAGCAUCCUCACAGCACCCACUGAGGAGGAGGAUAUCAAUGGCACACUUGGUGGUCAGAGACUAAGCGUGAAGGUCACCCAGGAGGGCACAUUCCCAAGCCUCGGAAGGGAUAGGUGGUGAUGACGGCAUUGGAGACGGCAUUGGAGACGGCAACCUGAAGAGUUGGUUUGGCUGAGACUGAGGAUUCAGGAGCAGAGGAAGCCCUGGGUCAAAGUGUGACUUUGAGAGUGGAAUGACACACAGACGAAGCACCCAGUUUAGAACCUGGCCCACCAAGUGGACAGCAGUUGAGAACGAUGGUGGAGAGAGUACCAGAGGAAGAGUCCUUCUUCCUUCUCAGUCUUGUGACCCAGCCACCCCAGUCCACCGUCCGCACCAAGGGGACAUCUGGCACCUCAGAUCUAGAGACAGUGUCUGUGGGAUGUCUCAGAAUGUGUAGCCUGAGGAUAAGGGAAGGGACAGCUGUUAUUCACAGAACACCAGGAGAAUGUCAUCAACAGGAGCAUGGAUAAAUCGCCACACACUAGCCCGUGGGACUUGAGGCAUCUUUACCAUUGCAUGGGCUCCUGCUCCACAGUGACCCGAUUGGUUCCUUGGGUGUGGAAUAUUAAGUCAGAGAGAAACAGGACCCCUACUUAAUAUUUUUUAAAGCCUCAUAAAUAAACAAAGUAAGCCCCAUCAUGUUGACCAGGGUAUACAUUA
This 839-nucleotide long non-coding RNA is filed under the name Chinchilla lanigera (long-tailed chinchilla). Its description in RNAcentral is "lncRNA (ENSCLAG00000028860.1)". Lineage: Eukaryota; Metazoa; Chordata; Mammalia; Rodentia; Chinchillidae. The record is from RNAcentral.